Molecule: ribosomal RNA, 697 nt
Filed under: uncultured Oscillatoriales cyanobacterium
Lineage: Bacteria; Bacillati; Cyanobacteriota; Cyanophyceae; Oscillatoriales
Description: bacterial SSU rRNA
Rfam family: Bacterial small subunit ribosomal RNA
Source: RNAcentral
AGUGGCGGACGGGUGAGUAACGCGUGAGGAUCUGCCCUUAGGAUGGGGACAACAGUUGGAAACGACUGCUAAUACCCAAUGUGCCGAAAGGUGAAAGCUUUAGCGCCUGAGGAUGAACUCGCGUCUGAUUAGCUAGUUGGUAGUGUAAUGGACUACCAAGGCGACGAUCAGUAGCUGGUCUGAGAGGAUGAUCAGCCACACUGGGACUGAGACACGGCCCAGACUCCUACGGGAGGCAGCAGUGGGGAAUUUUCCGCAAUGGGCGAAAGCCUGACGGAGCAACGCCGCGUGGGGGAAGACGGCUCGUGGGUUGUAAACCUCUUUUCUCUAGGAAGAAGAACUGACGGUACUAGAGGAAUCAGCAUCGGCUAACUCCGUGCCAGCAGCCGCGGUAAUACGGAGGAUGCAAGCGUUAUCCGGAAUUAUUGGGCGUAAAGCGUCCGUAGGCGGUUUUACAAGUCUGCUGUUAAAGCGUGCAGCUCAACUGCAUAUAGGCAGUGGAAACUGUAAGACUAGAGUGUAGUAGGGGUAGAGGGAAUUCCCAGUGUAGCGGUGAAAUGCGUAGAUAUUGGGAAGAACACCGGUGGCGAAAGCGCUCUACUGGGUUACAACUGACGCUGAUGGACGAAAGCUAGGGGAGCGAAAGGGAUUAGAUACCCCUGUAGUCCUAGCCGUAAACGAUGGACACUAGGUGUUG